AGAGUUUGAUCCUGGCUCAGGAUAAACGCUGGCGGCGCACAUAAGACAUGCAAGUCGAACGAACUUAACCCUUUGUUUACAUUGGGAGCGGUUAGUGGCGGACUGGUGAGUAACACGUAAGCAACCUGCCUAUUAGAGGGGAAUAACAGUGAGAAAUCAUUGCUAAUACCGCAUAUGCUCACAGUAUCACAUGAUACAGUGAGGAAAGGAGCAAUCCACUAAUAGAUGGGCUUGCGUCUGAUUAGCUAGUUGGUGGGGUAACGGCCUACCAAGGCGACGAUCAGUAGCCGGACUGAGAGGUUGAACGGCCACAUUGGGACUGAGAUACGGCCCAGACUCCUACGGGAGGCAGCAGUCGGGAAUAUUGCGCAAUGGAGGAAACUCUGACGCAGUGACGCCGCGUAUAGGAAGAAGGUUUUCGGAUUGUAAACUAUUGUCGUUAGGGAAGAUAAAAGACAGUACCUAAGGAGGAAGCUCCGGCUAACUAUGUG
Molecule: ribosomal RNA, 491 nt
Filed under: uncultured bacterium
Lineage: Bacteria
Description: bacterial SSU rRNA
Rfam family: Bacterial small subunit ribosomal RNA
Source: RNAcentral